AUGCGCCAGCUAAGGCUCGUCACCAACAUGAGGGCUCAUAAUGACACCUGGUUUGCCGAUUACUUGCUAAGGGUAGGCAAUGGUACCGAGGAAGUUGACGAUCAAGGAAACAUACGACUCCCUGAAGAUAUUUGUGUGCCAUCUACAGGCGAGGGUGACGACCUGGAGAAGCUGAUUGACCAUGAUUUUCCGAGACUAGAUGACAACCAGUCCGAUCCGAAUUACAUGACUUCACGCGCAAUCCUCUCCACCACGAACGACAACGUCGACAAGAUAAACAUACGCAUGGUAGAG
RNAcentral lists this ribosomal RNA (294 nucleotides) under Triticum aestivum (bread wheat). RNAcentral's name for it is "partial small subunit ribosomal RNA". The record is from RNAcentral. Lineage: Eukaryota; Viridiplantae; Streptophyta; Magnoliopsida; Poales; Poaceae.